ACAAACCGUUAGUAAGAAUAUAUUAGUCCUAUGUGGAGGUGAAAAGAAUAAAAUGAUUUAACAUGUGUAUCUUGCAAAGUACAACAACUUGUGUACGGGUAACAAGAAUGUGGAGAGAAGAAAAAUUAGAAAAAACAAAUAACAUGGAGUAGAUGCAUUAAAAAGAGAUGAGAAUUAAAAAAGAGCAGAUCCGAGAGGAGAGAGAAGACGUGAGGAG
Molecule: long non-coding RNA, 217 nt
Filed under: Brachypodium distachyon (stiff brome)
Lineage: Eukaryota; Viridiplantae; Streptophyta; Magnoliopsida; Poales; Poaceae
Description: long non-coding RNA (BDIS_LNC000022)
Source: RNAcentral